GCCAGACUCCUACGGGAGGCAGCAGUGGGGGAUAUUGCACAAUGGGGGGAACCCUGAUGCAGCGACGCCGCGUGGGUGAAGGAGCGUUUCGGCGCGUAAAGCCCUAUCGGCAGGGAAGAAGGAGGACGGUACCUGACUAAGAAGCCCCGGCUAACUACGUGCCAGCAGCCGCGGUAAUACGUAGGGGGCAAGCGUUAUCCGGAUUUACUGGGUGUAAAGGGGGCGCAGACGGCAGCGCAAGCCAGGAGUGAAAGCCCGGGGCCCAACCCCGGGACUGCUCUUGGAACUGCGCGGCUGGAGUGCAGGAGGGGCAGGCGGAAUUCCUGGUGUAGCGGUGAAAUGCGUAGAUAUCAGGAGGAACACCGGUGGCGAAGGCGGCCUGCUGGACUGCGACUGACGUUGAGGCCCGAAAGCGUGGGGAGCAAACAGGAUUAGAUACCCCUGUAGAG
This 449-nucleotide ribosomal RNA is filed under the name uncultured bacterium. RNAcentral's name for it is "bacterial SSU rRNA". It matches the Rfam family "Bacterial small subunit ribosomal RNA", at positions 330 to 793 of the family's 1533-position model. The record is from RNAcentral.